RNAcentral lists this long non-coding RNA (924 nucleotides) under Scleropages formosus (Asian bonytongue). Its description in RNAcentral is "lncRNA (ENSSFOG00015033291.1)". The record is from RNAcentral. Lineage: Eukaryota; Metazoa; Chordata; Actinopteri; Osteoglossiformes; Osteoglossidae.
CGGUUGUUUACUGAGAGUCUCGGUAAGAAGAAUUUACUAACUCUACGCAGCCACUCGUGUAAUGUGUACUGGUUAAACUGGGAUACUGGACUGACCUGACCUGGUCUUCGAGGACCGCCUGUCUCUGUUUCUACUCCGCACUUUUGUUUUACUCUGAAUUAUACGUUAUUGUGGAGAAAAGUGUCGGCUAAAUCAGUACAUGUAAAUAUAGCUUAGAGUGUUACUGUCACACCCCUGUCUGCGGGACUCAUCGGCGAAUGGCAGCAGGGAAAUAGGAGUGGAACCAACAACCUUCAGGUUACACGUCCAAGCCUUUAACCCACUGACUGAGUAAACACUGUAAAACAGUGUGAAACAACGUGACGCGGCAGAGCAGAGGAAGUGAACGGGAGAAAGAAGGGACGCUGUUGACUUUGGACUCUGACUCCGCACUCCUCCUCAUCGUGCCUCGCUCCGCUUUACUGUUUUUUACUCUCUGUCGGAUCACGUUGAUGAGUCUGCGGUCACCAUGAUGACUCGGGUGAAUCUGAGUAACUCCAACUGGGACAUUAAUGUGUCUCUGAACGAAGAGGAGGCGGCGGCCAUGCGCCGCGUGCUGGAGCGCGACUCGCGCCUCCGACGUGCGGAGCGACAGCGGGUCCAGAAGCUCCGGGAGGUGUCCAGGGAUGAUCGGUGGCUCUGGGGGGUAUCAGGACAAUGGUUCCAGGAGAUCAAGAAGGCCAACCGCGAGUACAAUUCCAGCUCUGGCUGUUGUUCUCCUGCCUCAUUUAGCAUCAGCAAAACAAGAAGCAAAGAGCGGAGAAUCACCGCUAAAGAGAAGAAUGAAGAACACACAAAGACUAGAGGCAUUCCGCUUCGAACCCGCCUCGCUUCACUCUUCUCCUUUAGGCUUCCACAAAAAAAGAACCACAGUAAGCUCAAGUA